UUGACCUCAAAUCAGGUAGGACUACCCGCUGAACUUAAGCAUAUCAAUAAGCGGAGGAAAAGAAACUAACAAGGAUUCCCCUAGUAACUGCGAGUGAAGCGGGAAAAGCUCAAAUUUGAAAUCUGGCGGUUCUGAACUGUCCGAGUUGUAAUCUAGAGAAGUGUUACCUGUGCUGGACCGUGUACAAGUCUCCUGGAAUGGAGCAUCAUAGAGGGUGAGAAUCCCGUCUUUGACACGGACUACCUGUACAUUAUGGUGCGCUCUCGAAGAGUCGAGUUGUUUGGGAAUGCAGCUCAAAAUGGGUGGUAAAUGCCAUCUAAAGCUAAAUAUUGGCGAGAGACCGAUAGCGAACAAGUACCGUGAGGGAAAGAUGAAAAGAACUUUGGAAAGAGAGUUAAACAGUACGUGAAAUUGCUGAAAGGGAAACGCUUGAAGUCAGUCGCGUUGGCUAGAAAUCAACCUAGCUCUUGCUCGGUGUACUUUCUGGUUGACGGGUCAGCAUCAAUUUUGACCAUUGGAUAAAGUCUUUGGGAAUGUGGCAUCUUCGGAUGUGUUAUAGCCCAUUGUCGCAUACGGUGGUUGGGAUUGAGGAACUCAGCACGCCGCAAG
Molecule: ribosomal RNA, 609 nt
Filed under: Inocybe cf. flocculosa F14057
Lineage: Eukaryota; Fungi; Basidiomycota; Agaricomycetes; Agaricales; Inocybaceae
Description: eukaryotic LSU rRNA
Rfam family: Eukaryotic large subunit ribosomal RNA
Source: RNAcentral